This 72-nucleotide transfer RNA is filed under the name Camelus bactrianus (Bactrian camel). It matches the Rfam family "tRNA". Rfam says of the family: Transfer RNA (tRNA) molecules are approximately 80 nucleotides in length. Their secondary structure includes four short double-helical elements and three loops (D, anti-codon, and T loops). The record is from Rfam by way of RNAcentral. Lineage: Eukaryota; Metazoa; Chordata; Mammalia; Artiodactyla; Camelidae. RNAcentral also lists the same sequence under 3 other names.
GAAGGUAUAGCUCAGUGGUAGGGUGUGUGCUUAGCAUGCAUGAGGUUCUGGGUUCAAUCCCCAGUACCUCCA